Molecule: non-coding RNA, 1645 nt
Organism: Sturnus vulgaris (Common starling)
Lineage: Eukaryota; Metazoa; Chordata; Aves; Passeriformes; Sturnidae
Source: RefSeq, a predicted model, not a curated record
CUGCAAGCUUGCAGCUUUUCCUUUGAGCAGCAAUACAUGGGAUUGGGACAUACUUGCUUUCAUUAAAUUCUCUGUUUGCUCUACCCUUGCUAUGACCCUGAAUACAAAAAGCUGGUCUCCCCUGAUUCUUGUCUAGUAUUAUGAAGUUCAUGAAAUACCUACUUUCAGAUCUCCUGAGAUAUUGGCUCCUGCAAGAAUGCCAGUAGCAGCUGGGAAAAAAAUGGCAAACACUGAAAAAAAUCCUUCUCCACUUCUGAAAUCUGGUCCAAAGUUUUCUGCAAAUAUUGAUGCUGCAAAUAUAAGUGAGAAUGAAAUAUAACAACAGGAUUUGAUUCUAAAGUUACUUAUGAAGGAGUGUUGGUAGGAAUGACUGUCCCAAUAAAGAAGUUUGCAAUGGCAACAAGGAGAACAAUUAGAAGAAUAACUUGAGCCUAUUAAUGAAAACAAAAAGAUUCACCUGUCGUUUUUAACUUUGUUGCUGUGGAGAUGGCUAUAUACAACUGAGAUGCCGAGAAGACACACCACAGUGAUGGUCCCUAUGAUUCUGAUGUCGUUGGACUCAUCUACCAUCAGUGUAUCACUCUCCUGAAAGUGGUUAGAAAUGUUAUGAGAACCAGUCUUUCUCUGCCCAACUGGUGGGAUCAAGUAACAAGAAUGUUUUUUUCUUCAUCUCUCCUGAGGCUAAAGAUGAUGAGCUCAUCAAAUCUCCAUAACAAGUGUGGAGAAUAGCCAAGAGGAAGAAAGGAAAGAGGAAUCUCCAGAGAACAGAAGUCUGAACAAAAUCUGGACCAGCAUUCAAAAAUCAGAAGCUUGUCCAAAUUAUUCAGACCUCAGAAGUAUGAAAAACUGAGCGGGUACAGAGCAGAGAACAAACUGAAGCUACCAAAGGAAAUAUGAUCUCCUCAAAGAAAACAAAUGAGCAAACAAAAACUCCAAGAGAAGGAGUACGUAUAUUUAAGGCCUUUAGUAGGUUAAAUACCUUUGCAGCAAUUUAAAGCAUGGCUUAGAAAGCCCUGAAAUGAGCUACUGAAAUGAUGGCAAUCAUAUGUCUUGAAAUAUAUUUCUAAGAUUAGGGAGUGUGGUUGUAUAGACCUGUGUAAUUCAGUAGGAGCCCAGUUUGUUCAAAGGCACUAAACCAGAGCAUGCUUAGACAUGAAACCCUGCAAGCAUUUGUAAAAGCAGAAAGUUUUAGAAACAAAAUAUAUCUUACAAACAAAUAUAUGGCCUGAAAAUCUGGAUAAAUAAGCCCAUUACAGACAUUUUUUUAAAGUUCCAUAUUUUUGCAAGAGGUUGGACUAGACGAACUCCUAAGAUUUUUUCAAUUUCGUUUUCUCAAUGAUUUUGUGAAAUGCUUUUGGUCCUUUGGCACUGAAAGAUAAAAUAGGGCAUCAAUAUUUAUAGCUCAGCAAAUGUAAAUUUUCUCUAAAUCACAUAUCCAAAUUAUAAUUUGAAGAGCUGAUAAUCGGAUGUCCUCCAUCUUCAGUAUGAGAUACAGCUAAAGCAUAUUUUCUUAUUUCUUCCACCAGCUAUAGGUAAUAUUCUGCUGUCACCUCUCUGCUAAGACACCACUUUGUCACCCCUCAUAUUUAUGUUCGUUUUCCUGCUUAAUGUUGUGUAAGCCUCACAGCAACAUAUUACAUUUAUU